GACGAGCGCUGGCGGCGUGCUUAACACAUGCAAGUCGAACGGAAAGGCCCUGCUUUUGUGGGGUGCUCGAGUGGCGAACGGGUGAGUAACACGUGAGUAACCUGCCCUUGACUUUGGGAUAACUUCAGGAAACUAGGGCUAAUACCGGAUAGGAGCUCCUGCUGCAUGGUGGGGGUUGGAAAGUUUCGGCGGUUGGGGAUGGACUCGCGGCUUAUCAGCUUGUUGGUGGGGUAGUGGCUUACCAAGGCUUUGACGGGUAGCCGGCCUGAGAGGGUGACCGGCCACAUUGGGACUGAGAUACGGCCCAGACUCCUACGGGAGGCAGCAGUGGGGAAUAUUGCACAAUGGGCGGAAGCCUGAUGCAGCAACGCCGCGUGCGGGAUGACGGCCUUCGGGUUGUAAACCGCUUUCGCCUGUGACGAAGCGUGAGUGACGGUAAUGGGUAAAGAAGCACCGGCUAACUACGUG
This 468-nucleotide ribosomal RNA is filed under the name uncultured bacterium. Its description in RNAcentral is "partial 16S ribosomal RNA". It matches the Rfam family "Bacterial small subunit ribosomal RNA", at positions 28 to 507 of the family's 1533-position model. The record is from RNAcentral.